UAUGCUUGUCUCAAAGCUUAAGCCAUGCAAGUCUCAGUACAAACUGAAUUAAAGUGAAACCGCAAAAGGCUCAGUAAACCAGUCAUGAUUCACUUGAGUAUACAUGACCUGUCUUUGGAUAACUGUGGUAAUCCUAGAGCUAAUACAUGCAAUCAAGUCCCGACCAGUUUACCUGGGAAGGACGCCUUUUAUUAGAUCAAGACCAAUCGCUCGGCUCGUUCGAGCGUUUCCUUGAUGACUCUAGGUAACACAUCAGAUCGCAUGGUCUCAGCACCGGCGACUUAUCUUUCAAAUGCCUGACUUAUCAACUGUCGAUGGUAGACUCUAUGUCUACCAUGGUUGUAACGGGUAACGGGGAAUCAGGGUUCGAUUCCGGAGAGGGAGCCUGAGAAACGGCUACCACAUCCAAGGAAGGCAGCAGGCACGCAAAUUACCCACUCCCGGCACGGGGAGGUAGUGACAAUAAAUAACGAUACGGGACUCUUUUGAGGCCCCGUAAUCGGAAUGAGUACACUUUAAAUCCUUUAACCAGGAUCCAUUGAAGGGCAAGUCUGGUGCCAGCAGCCGCGGUAAUUCCAGCUUCAAUAGCGUAUAUUAAAGUUGUUGCGGUUAAAAAGCUCGUAGUUGGUUCUGCGUGCUACGCUGUCGGUUCGCCGCCUGCCGGUGUAACUGGCAUGCCGUGGCAUGUCCUGUCGGUGGCGAACGAGGAGCCUUGUUAGGAGCCGGCCCGAGUCAAAAGCUCGGUGUCCGGAGGCCGGAGGCCUCUUUCGUUCGCCUGCUCUAUCCUACCUAGGUGCUCUUCACCGAGUGUCGAGGUAGGCCGACACGUUUACUUUGAACAAAUUAGAGUGCUCAAAGCAGGCUAAAAUCUCUGCCUGAAUAGUGGUGCAUGGAAUAAUAAAACAGGACCUUGGUUCUAUUUUGUUGGUUCUUAAGAACACAAGGUAAUGAUCAAUACGGACAGGCGGGGGCAUUCGUAUUGCGACGUUAGACUUGGCAAAUGCUUUCGCGGUGAAAUUCUUGGAUCGUCGCAAGACGCACAAGAGCGAAAGCAUUUGCCAAGUAUGUCUUGAUUGAUCAAGAACGAAAGUUAGAGGUUCGAAGGCGAUCAGAUACCGCCCUAGUUCUAACCAUAAACGAUGCCAGCCAGCGAUCCGCCGAUGUUCCUCCGAUGACUCGGCGGGGAGCUUCUUCCCGGGAAACCAAAGCUUUUGGGUUCCGGGGGAAGUAUGGUUGCAAAGCUGAAACUUAAAGGAAUUGACGGAAGGGCACCACCAGGAGUGGAGCCUGCGGCUUAAUUCGACUCAACACGGAAAACCUCACCAGGCCAGGACAUUGGAAGGAUUGACAGAUUGAUAGCUCUUUCUUGAUUCAGUGGGUAGUGGUGCAUGGCCGUUCUAUAGUUGGUGG
Molecule: ribosomal RNA, 1410 nt
Filed under: Caulotops sp. WCW-2003
Lineage: Eukaryota; Metazoa; Arthropoda; Insecta; Hemiptera; Miridae
Description: SSU rRNA
Rfam family: Eukaryotic small subunit ribosomal RNA
Source: RNAcentral